GGCCGCGCGGUAUGUUGCCGAAAGGUAUUACCGUGAGGAAAGUCCGGGCUUCACAGGGCAGGAUAGUUGAUAACGUCAACCGCAGGCGACUGCCGGGAAAGUGCAACAGAAAUAUACCGCCCGCAAGGGUAAGGAUGGAAAGGCGAGGUAAGAGCUCACCCACUCCUAUGGUGACAUAGGUUUGCUGUAAACCCUAUCCGAAGCAACACCGUAUGGGGGCGUCUGCCCGACGUAUGCCCCCGGGUGGCACGGGAGUUUUCUCCCGAAGCUCGCCGGUGACGGAGAGCGAAGAUUGAUGGCCGUUCACGACAGAACCCGGCUUACAGGUGGAGU
Molecule: RNase P RNA, 333 nt
Filed under: human gut metagenome
Description: Bacterial RNase P class A
Rfam family: Bacterial RNase P class A
About the family: Ribonuclease P (RNase P) is a ubiquitous endoribonuclease, found in archaea, bacteria and eukarya as well as chloroplasts and mitochondria.
Source: RNAcentral